CCCGACUUAGGACUGAUAACAAUAUAACAAACACAAAAUAUAAAUGCAUAUAAACUAGUACAGUAUGCAAAAUAAAAUAACACCGUUGGUCAUAAGAUAAUACUACAACCACAUGAUAAUACUAAAAACUAUCUAUCCAAAAUCAUAAACAUCACUCAACACCACGAACAAGACACUUCAGCAACAAAUCAAGAACGCCCCCUACUGUUACCGAUGCACACC
This 222-nucleotide long non-coding RNA is filed under the name Capsicum annuum. RNAcentral's name for it is "long non-coding RNA (CANN_LNC017852)". The record is from RNAcentral. Lineage: Eukaryota; Viridiplantae; Streptophyta; Magnoliopsida; Solanales; Solanaceae.